RNAcentral lists this long non-coding RNA (357 nucleotides) under Urocitellus parryii (Arctic ground squirrel). Its description in RNAcentral is "lncRNA (ENSUPAG00010010477.1)". The record is from RNAcentral. Lineage: Eukaryota; Metazoa; Chordata; Mammalia; Rodentia; Sciuridae.
CAGUUAAACGUGACCACCCGGCAUCUCGGUUCCAGGAAUUCAUUGCUUAGUUGAAGGACUCUAUGCAGACUGAGAUCCAGAAACUUGGUGCACAUGGACCUUUGGGUCUCUGCGUGAGGCAGGCKUGCUCUCCUGUAUCCUGAGGAAGGAUUCCAAAGCUGAAAACUCUCAGACUCUCUGUGCUCCUGGAUUCCUGGGCCACACAGCUUUGAACAAACUUACGGGGACAGGUUGCUUCCUGAGGAUCUCUGUGUGUUCAAAACAUAAUCAAAAAAGGUAAGGAUGUUUUUCUUAGGAGAAGAGCCGGAAAUGCAGAACGAUUUUUGUUGCAGGAGGCAGCCAUGUUUUCAAACUAAC